AACAGUGUGAGGUACAAAAACAGCAAAAACGCAUGUCAGUAGCCACUGUGGAGUUAAUAACAGCGUAGCGCCUGGAGUACAAAGUCAACGAGGCGAAGUGAAGCGGAAAGCUUAGACUCCGCGCAAUCAGGCAUUGCACAGAUUACAGUGUUUUCCUGCGCACACGCACAUCUCUUAAAACAGGAUCGGAUUGCUGAGCAGAUCGUGGCAGCGAAGGCGCAGGCUGGUCGUCAAUCCAGGAAUGUUCCUCCAACCCAGCGAGCCCACGACGGGGCAGUACUGCUAGACUAGAAAAAGGGAGGGGUUGUGCCCUGA
Trichomycterus rosablanca is the source of this 315-nucleotide long non-coding RNA. RefSeq lists it as uncharacterized. The record is from RefSeq and is a predicted model, not a curated record. The transcript is spliced from 3 exons. NCBI's taxonomy places the organism in Eukaryota, Metazoa, Chordata, Actinopteri, Siluriformes, Trichomycteridae.